This 588-nucleotide long non-coding RNA is filed under the name Homo sapiens (human). RNAcentral describes it as "non-protein coding lnc-TRIM59-5:1". Lineage: Eukaryota; Metazoa; Chordata; Mammalia; Primates; Hominidae. The record is from RNAcentral.
AUUGAUAAGGUUCAGUACAUCAAUUCUAUAAAAAAUCUUCCAUCUAAAGAAUCAAAAAUGGCCCACAUACUACUGUUUAGUGGGAACAUACAGGAGGCUGAAAUAGUACUUCUUCAGGCUGGCCUUGUUUAUCAAGCAAUCCAGAUCAAUAUUAAUCUCUACAACUGGGAAAGAUAUUAAAUCGUCUUUCCUCUUACAGAUUAUAUACUUCCUGAAGAGCGGAAACAUUUCACAUUAUCUAUACAUAGGCACUGGAAUUGGCUGUAAAAUACAAAACACAUGUUGAUACAGUUCUUGCUUACCGUCAAAAGUUUUUGGAGACAUUUGGUAAACAGGAAACUAAUAAACGAUACUUGCAUUAUGCAGAAGGUCUCCAAAUAGAUUGGGAGAAAAUCAAAGCCAAAAUUGAGAUGGAAAUUACAAAAGAAAGAGAGCAAUCAUCAAGCAGCCAAUCCAGCAAGAGUAUAGGUUUAAAGCCCUAAAUGCCAUGCGUAUCUUUAAGAAAUUUUAUCUUUUGAAACACGUUCUGAUUAACCAAGGGUAAGCAUGUUUUGGUUGCUAAAGAAAAAAGCAUAAUCUUUAACCGAG